GGUCGGUUGGCUCAAUGGUAGAGCGUCCGCCUCCUACUUCAUGGGACUCGAUCCCACAAGUCCGAAAGCGGAAGGUUGUGGGUUCGAGUCCCAUGCUGAUCG
This 102-nucleotide transfer RNA is filed under the name Zymoseptoria tritici IPO323. RNAcentral's name for it is "Zymoseptoria tritici tRNA-Arg for anticodon CCU". It matches the Rfam family "tRNA". From Rfam's summary of the family: Transfer RNA (tRNA) molecules are approximately 80 nucleotides in length. Their secondary structure includes four short double-helical elements and three loops (D, anti-codon, and T loops). Further hydrogen bonds mediate the characteristic L-shaped molecular structure. tRNAs have two regions of fundamental functional importance: the anti-codon, which is responsible for specific mRNA codon recognition, and the 3' end, to which the tRNAs corresponding amino acid is attached (by aminoacyl-tRNA synthetases). tRNAs cope with the degeneracy of the genetic code in two manners: having more than one tRNA (with a specific anti-codon) for a particular amino acid; and 'wobble' base-pairing, i.e. permitting non-standard base-pairing at the 3rd anti-codon position. The record is from Rfam by way of RNAcentral. RNAcentral also lists the same sequence under 1 other name. Lineage: Eukaryota; Fungi; Ascomycota; Dothideomycetes; Mycosphaerellales; Mycosphaerellaceae.